GAGGACCGUAUGAGAUGAAAACCUCACGUACGGUUCUGGAACGGAGAUUCUUUGAAUCGAAUAACGACCGUAAC
This 74-nucleotide non-coding RNA is filed under the name Salix viminalis (osier). Lineage: Eukaryota; Viridiplantae; Streptophyta; Magnoliopsida; Malpighiales; Salicaceae. The record is from RNAcentral.